RNAcentral lists this long non-coding RNA (2103 nucleotides) under Olea europaea subsp. europaea. The record is from RNAcentral. Lineage: Eukaryota; Viridiplantae; Streptophyta; Magnoliopsida; Lamiales; Oleaceae.
GAAAAUGUAUGAUGGUACAAUUCGCACUAUCUAGGAGGUACGACACGUAAAAGGCUUGAAGAAAAAUCUAUUAUCUUUAGGACAAUUAGAUAGCAUUGGCUGCAAAACCCAUAACAAGAUGGGAUUAUGAAAAUAAUCAAAGGGGCGCUUGUGGUGAUGAAAGCGGAAAAGAUAGCUGCAAAUUUGUACAUGCUUAAAGGAGAAACACUACAAGAAGGAGAAGCAUCUGUCGCAUCGACAGGUUCAGCAGAAGAAUUAACGAUGAUGUGGCAUCGCAAGCUUGGUCACAUGUCUGAACGUGGUUUGAAAAUUCUCUCAGAACAAAAGCUUCUUCCAGGGCUCAAAAAGGUUUCAUUACCCUUUUGUGAGCAUUGUAUUACUAGUAAGCAGCACAGAUUGAAGUUCAGUAGUUCUACUGCUAGAAGUAAAACUAUCUUGGAACUGGUCCAUUCAGAUGUUUGGCAAGCACCGGUUAUGUCCCUAGGAGGUGCAAGAUACUUUGUAUCUUUUAUUGAUGAUUACUCCAGGAGAUGUUGGGUGUAUCCAAUCAAGAGGAAGGCAGACGUGUUUGCAGUCUUCAAAAUAUUCAAAGCGCGUGUGGAGCUUGAAUCUGAAAAGAAGAUCAAGUGUCUGAGGACUGACAAUGGAGGAGAAUAUACUGGUGAUGAAUUUGAUAACUUCUGUCAAUAAGAAGGUAUCAAGAGGCAGUUCACGGUGGCAUACACUCCACAGCAAAAUGGAGUGGCAGAGCGGAUGAACAGAACAUUGUUAGAAAGAACAAGAGCAAUGUUGAGAACUGCAAAUUUAGCCAAGUCAUUUUGGGCAGAAGCAGUCAAAACCGCCUGUUAUGUGAUCAAUCGGUCGCCAUCAACCGCAAUUGAUUUGAAGACGCCGAUGGAAAUGUGGACUAAUAAACCGGCUGAUUAUUCUCGCUUACAUAUAUUUGGAAGUCAUGUGUACGUUAUGUACAACACCCAAGAGACAUCAAAGCUGGAUCCAAAAUCCAGAAAAUGUAUUUUCUUAGGGUAUGCUGAUGGAGUCAAGGGGUAUCGACUGUGGGAUCCCACUGCCCACAAGGUGAUAAUCAGCAGAGAUGUCAUAUUUGCGGAAGGCAAAAUACAGGAAAAAGGAAAUGAUAGCACUUCAAAAGAAAAACCAGAGACUACUACAGUCGAAGUUGGAAACGAACGAGAAGAUAUAGAUUCUUCUGAAGCAACACUAGAGCACGAAGAACAAGCUGAAUCUAGUACUCCAGAUGUUCGACGAUCAACUCGGGAGAGAAGAGAACCGGCUUGGCACUCAGAAUACAUUAUGGAGGGCAAUGUUGCAUACUGCUUACUGACAGAAGAUGGAGAGCCAUCAACUUUCCAUGAGGCUAUAAAUAGCCAAGAAGUUUCUCUGUGGAUGGCUGCAAUGCAAGAAGAAAUUGAAGCUCUUCAUAAGAACAAGACAUGGAAUCUUGUUCCACUACCACAUGGAAGGAAGGCCAUUGGGAAUAAAUGGGUCUAUAAGAUAAAACGAGAUGGCAAUGACCAAGUGGAGCGGUAUCGUGCGAGACUGGUGGUGAAGGGGUAUGCUCAGAAAGAAGGUAUAGACUUCAAUGAAAUAUUUUCUCCUGUGGUUCGACUCACAACAAUUCGAGUAGUCUUGGGGAUGUGUGCUACAUUUGACCUACACCUAGAGCAGUUAGAUGUGAAAACUGCAUUUCUUCAUGGAGAACUUGAAGAAGAGAUUUAUAUGCUCCAACCAGAAGGUUUUGAAGAAAAAGGAAAAGAGAACUUGGUUUGCAGGUUGAACAAAUCUCUAUACGGUCUCAAACAGGCGCCGAGGUGUUGGUAUAAGAGAUUUGAUUCCUUCAUCAUGAGCCUUGGAUACAACAGACUUAGUUCAGAUCCGUGUGCAUACUACAUGAGAUUUGGUGAUAAUGAUUUCAUUAUUCUGUUGUUGUAUGUUGAUGACAUGUUGGUAGCAGGCCCCCACAAAGAUCGUAUUGAAAAUUUGAAGGCACAAUUGGCUAGGGAGUUUGAAAUGAAGGACUUGGGACCAGCAAACAAGAUUCUAGGGAUGCAAAUUUACCGAGAUAGAAAUAAUAGGAAGAUUUGG